GCAUCUGUGCAUGCAGCAUAUCAAUAAGCGGAGGAAAAGAAACCAACAGGGAUUGCCUUAGUAACGGCGAGUGAAGCGGCAAGAAGCUCAAAUUUGAAAUCUGGCGCCUUCGGUGUCCGAGUUGUAAUUUGAAGAAGGUAAGCUUUGGAGUUGGCUCUUGUCUAAUGUUCCUUGGAACAGGACGUCACGAGAGGGUGAGAAUCCCGUGGCGAUGAGGAUGUCCGCAAUUCUAUGUAGAAGUGCUUUCGAAGAGUCGAGUUGUUUGGGAAUGCAGCUCUAAGUGGGUGGUAAAUUCCAUCUAAAGCUAAAUAUUGGCGAGAGACCGAUAGCGAACAAGUACAGUGAUGGAAAGAUGAAAAGAACUUUGAAAAGAGAGUUAAACAGUACGUGAAAUUGUCAAAAGGGAAGCGUUUGACACCAGUGUUGUUUUCUCGAAAAUCAAUUAAAAAUGGCUCGAUUUUGUAUUGCUGAGACCUUAAAAGCUCACCGUACAUUUUUCGUGUCUUUUUUAAUGCACUUUUCGUUUAACAAGUCAACAUCAGUUUCUUUUGUUGUAAAAGGGUCAUUGGAAGGUGGCUUUCUUUUCGGAGAAAGUGUUUAUAGCCUUUAGGCCUCUGCAAUCGAAGAGACUGAGGUCUGCAGCGUAGACUCUUCGGGGUUAGAUACAUUUGUGCUAAGUUAUAGCUUUUUAUAGACAACUUGUUGACUAUAAUUAGUCUUGUAGCUUACUCGCUUAUGCUAUUUUACCUACGCUUAGGAUGUUGACGCAUGAGAUAUACGC
RNAcentral lists this ribosomal RNA (781 nucleotides) under uncultured Neocallimastigales. Its description in RNAcentral is "partial large subunit ribosomal RNA". It matches the Rfam family "Eukaryotic large subunit ribosomal RNA", at positions 24 to 634 of the family's 3401-position model. Lineage: Eukaryota; Fungi; Neocallimastigomycota; Neocallimastigomycetes; Neocallimastigales. The record is from RNAcentral.